UGGGGAAUUUUGCACAAUGGGGGAAACCCUGAUGCAGCGACGCCGCGUGAUUUAGAAGGCCUUCGGGUUGUAAAAAUCUUUUCUAUGGGAAGAAAAUGAAAGUACCAUAGGAAUAAGGACCGGCUAAUUACGUGCCAGCAGCCGCGGUAAUACGUAAGGUCCGAGCGUUGUCCGGAAUCAUUGGGCGUAAAGGGUACGUAGGCGGGUAAGCAAGUUAGAAGUGAAAUCCUAUAGCUCAACUAUAGUAAGCUUUUAAAACUGCUCAUCUUGAGGUAUCGAAGGGAAAGUGGAAUUCCUAGUGUAGCGGUGAAAUGCGCAGAUAUUAGGAGGAAUACCGGUGGCGAAGGCGACUUUCUGGCCAUAACCUGACGCUGAGGUACGAAAGCGUGGGUAGCAAACAGGA
This 403-nucleotide ribosomal RNA is filed under the name bacterium. Its description in RNAcentral is "partial 16S ribosomal RNA". It matches the Rfam family "Bacterial small subunit ribosomal RNA", at positions 355 to 777 of the family's 1533-position model. The record is from RNAcentral.